GUGCCAGCAGCCGCGGUAAUCCGUAGGUGGCAAGCGUUGUCCGGAUUUACUGGGCGUAAAGGAUGUGUAGGCGGAUAUUUAAGUGAGAUGUGAAAUCCCCGGGCUUAACUUGGGGGCUGCAUUUCAAACUGGAUGUCUAGAGUGCAGGAGAGGAAAGCAGAAAUCCUAGUGUAGAGGUGAAAUGCGUAGAGAUUAGUAAAGAUACCAGUGGCGAAGGCGGCUUUCUGUACU
This 231-nucleotide ribosomal RNA is filed under the name uncultured bacterium. RNAcentral's name for it is "partial 16S rRNA". It matches the Rfam family "Bacterial small subunit ribosomal RNA", at positions 505 to 735 of the family's 1533-position model. The record is from RNAcentral.